Molecule: unclassified non-coding RNA, 211 nt
Filed under: plant metagenome
Description: partial contains small subunit ribosomal RNA, internal transcribed spacer 1, and 5.8S ribosomal RNA
Source: RNAcentral
UUUCCGUAGGUGAGCCUGCGGAAGGAUCAUUCAUAAUUAAGUGUUUUAUGGCACUUUUUAAAAAUCCAUAUCCACCUUGUGUGCAAUGUUAGAUCUCGUCAAUCUUGGCGAGAUUUUUAUACAUCAACUCAUUCUUUAACUAAUUUGUCUGAAAAAUAUUAUGAAUACUUAAUUCAGAAUACAACUUUCAACAACGGAUCUCUUGGCUCUC